This is a long non-coding RNA of Felis catus (domestic cat), 716 nucleotides long. RefSeq lists it as uncharacterized. The transcript is spliced from 2 exons. The record is from RefSeq and is a predicted model, not a curated record. NCBI's taxonomy places the organism in Eukaryota, Metazoa, Chordata, Mammalia, Carnivora, Felidae.
CAUUCUUCCUUCUUCGACAGUUCUUUUGCACACUGGCUUUUCACUGAGUGCAAAAUCCCAACUCAGCUUAGAAGAGCCUGUUUCCUCGCACAUGACCACAGAAGGCUGCAUGCAGAACACCAGAGUAUCUUGAAAGAAAACAACCCCAAGCUGGAAAGAAGCCCCGAAGACUGGAUUAUUCUGGUGUGAUUGGUUCAAGUCACUGCUCACAGAGACUUAGAGACAAAUGCGGAUCGUGCAGGCCAAGGACCCUUCUUGGCUUCCGGGCUCUGAGUCUGGACACUCAGGUACCAAAUCCUUCGGGGUUAGUGAAUGAUUGCAAGUGGUUGUUUUUUUCCCAACCGUGGUGGAAAAAAAAAUGUACAGUGUAUAAUAAACUGUUUCGCUAAAAUCUCAAAGAAUUCAGAAAUCAAACUUCCAGCUGUACACAGUAUUAAUAUUGUCAUUGUAAACGGAACAGGUUCAAUAUCAUGUGCAAAGGUUGAAAAUGCUUGUUAACACUGCCAUCGUAACAGCAGCGUGGGUUUUCAGCCUGUGGGACACAUCUGUGCGCGUGUGUGGCUGUAGUUGUUUUUUUGUUGUCCUUGCGGUGGUUGGUUUGUUUUGUUUGUUGUUAACCAGGGGUGAGCCAUGUUACAGAAGAUGUGGUUGAAAAGUUAGCUUCGAACAGACGUCAGAAGUCUUUUUUUUUUUUUUUCCCUUCUCAAAACACACAC